RNAcentral lists this ribosomal RNA (1944 nucleotides) under human gut metagenome. Its description in RNAcentral is "bacterial LSU rRNA". It matches the Rfam family "Bacterial large subunit ribosomal RNA", at positions 1104 to 2925 of the family's 2925-position model. The record is from RNAcentral.
GCUUAGAAGCAGCCAUCCUUGAAAGAGUGCGUAACAGCUCACUGGUCAAGUGAUUCUGCGCCGAUAAUGUAGCGGGGCUCAAGUACACCGCCGAAGUUGUGGCAAUGACCCUUUGGGGUUGUUGGGUAGGGGAGCGUCGUGUGGCCGGUGAAGCUGCGGUGUAAACCAGUGGUGGAGGCUAUGCGAGUGAGAAUGCAGGCAUGAGUAGCGAAAGAUGAGUGAGAAACUCAUCCGCCGGAUGAUCAAGGGUUCCAGGGUCAAGUUAAUCUGCCCUGGGUUAGUCGGGGCCUAAGGCGAGGCCGACAGGCGUAGUCGAUGGAUAACGGGUUGAUAUUCCCGUACCGGUGAAAAACCGCCCAUACUGAUAUUGUGAUGCUAACCAUGCGAAGCAUGAUGUGCAGGCUUUUGUUUGUGUGUUGUGUGGGUUGUGGGACCCGAUCUUUGGAGGUAAACGUGUUAACAGGUGUGACGCAGGAAGGUAGCCAAGCCACGCGAUGGUUGUCGUGGUCUAAGCGUGUAGGGUUGUCGGUUGUUAAAUGCGCCGGCUGUGUGCCUGAGACGUGAUGGGACCCCGUUUUUGGGGGAUUUGGUGAUCCUAUGCUGCCGAGAAAAGCAUCGGCGUGAGGUUUUAGCCGCCCGUACCCUAAACCGACACAGGUGAUCAGGUAGAGAAUACUAAGGCGAUCGAGAGAAUCAUGGUUAAGGAACUCGGCAAAAUGCCCCCGUAACUUCGGGAGAAGGGGGACCUUGAGCGUGAUGGGCACUUGCUGCCUGGAGCGUGUAUGGGUCGCAGAGACCAGGGGGAAGCGACUGUUUAUCAAAAACACAGGUCCGUGCGAAGUCGUAAGACGAUGUAUACGGACUGACUCCUGCCCGGUGCUGGAAGGUUAAGAGGAUUGGUUAGCUCUUUUGGGCGAAGCUGAGAAUUUAAGCCCCAGUAAACGGCGGUGGUAACUAUAACCAUCCUAAGGUAGCGAAAUUCCUUGUCGGGUAAGUUCCGACCUGCACGAAUGGAGUAACGACUUCCCUACUGUCUCAACCAUGAACUCGGCGAAAUUGCAGUACGAGUAAAGAUGCUCGUUUCGCGCAGCAGGACGGAAAGACCCCGUGACCUUUACUAUAGUUUGGUAUUGGUGUUUGGUUUGGCUUGUGUAGGAUAGGUGGGAGACUGUGAAGCAUGGACGCUAGUUUGUGUGGAGUCGUUGUUGAAAUACCACUCUGGUCAAUCUGGAUGUCUAACUUCGGGCCAUGAUCUGGUUCAGGGACAGUGCCUGAUGGGUAGUUUAACUGGGGCGGUUGCCUCCUAAAGUGUAACGGAGGCGCCCAAAGGUUCCCUCAGCCUGGUUGGCAAUCAGGUGUUGAGUGUAAGUGCACAAGGGAGCUUGACUGUGAGACUGGCAGGUCGAGCAGGGACGAAAGUCGGGACUAGUGAUCCGGCGGUACGUUGUGGAACGGCCGUCGCUCAACGGAUAAAAGGUACCUCGGGGAUAACAGGCUGAUCUUGCCCAAGAGUCCAUAUCGACGGCAUGGUUUGGCACCUCGAUGUCGGCUCGUCGCAUCCUGGGGCUGGAGUCGGUCCCAAGGGUUGGGCUGUUCGCCCAUUAAAGCGGUACGCGAGCUGGGUUCAGAACGUCGUGAGACAGUUCGGUCCCUAUCCGCUGCGCGCGUUGGAAAUUUGAGAAAGGCUGUCCUUAGUACGAGAGGACCGGGACGGACGAACCUCUGGUAUGUCAGUUGUACCGCCAGGUGCAUGGCUGAUUGGCUACGUUCGGGAGGGAUAACCGCUGAAAGCAUCUAAGCGGGAAGCCUGUUUCGAGAUGAGAUUUCCUGGCACUUUGGGUGUGUGAGGCUCCUUAUAGAUGAUGAGGUUGAUAGGCCGGGUAUGGAAGCGGGGACUGAAGACUCGUGGAGUUGACUGGUACUAAUAGGCCGAAGGCUUACUUU